RNAcentral lists this ribosomal RNA (467 nucleotides) under uncultured bacterium. RNAcentral describes it as "bacterial SSU rRNA". It matches the Rfam family "Bacterial small subunit ribosomal RNA", at positions 328 to 792 of the family's 1533-position model. The record is from RNAcentral.
UCACCAGACUCCUACGGGAGGCAGCAGUGAGGAAUAUUGGUCAAUGGGCGAGAGCCUGAACCAGCCAAGUCGCGUGAAGGAUGACGGCCCUACGGGUUGUAAACUUCUUUUGUCAGGGAGCAAUUGGGUCCACGCGUGGGCUUAGCGAGAGUACCUGAAGAAAAAGCAUCGGCUAACUCCGUGCCAGCAGCCGCGGUAAUACGGAGGAUGCGAGCGUUAUCCGGAUUUAUUGGGUUUAAAGGGUGCGCAGGCGGGAGAUCAAGUCAGCGGUAAAAUGUCGGGGCUCAACCCCGGCCGGCCGUUGAAACUGGCUUUCUAGAGUUGGAGAGAAGUAUGCGGAAUUCGUGGUGUAGCGGUGAAAUGCAUAGAUAUCGCGCAGAACUCCGAUUGCGAAGGCAGCGUACCGGCGCCAGACUGACGCUGAGGCACGAAAGCGUGGGGAUCGAACAGGAUUAGAUACCCCAGUA